RNAcentral lists this ribosomal RNA (116 nucleotides) under Danio rerio (zebrafish). The record is from RNAcentral. Lineage: Eukaryota; Metazoa; Chordata; Actinopteri; Cypriniformes; Danionidae.
GCCACAGCCGUAUCAACCUGCAGCCUAACACUGGUUACCCACUGAAGCUAAGCAGGGCUGAGACUGCUCAGUGUCUGGAUGGGAGACCACACGGGAACACUAGGUUGCUGUUGGCA